RNAcentral lists this ribosomal RNA (497 nucleotides) under uncultured bacterium. RNAcentral describes it as "partial 16S ribosomal RNA". It matches the Rfam family "Bacterial small subunit ribosomal RNA", at positions 28 to 507 of the family's 1533-position model. The record is from RNAcentral.
GAUGAACGCUGGCGGCGUGCCUAAUACAUGCAAGUCGAGCGAACAGACGAGGAGCUUGCUCCUCUGACGUUAGCGGCGGACGGGUGAGUAACACGUGGAUAACCUACCUAUAAGACUGGGAUAACUUCGGGAAACCGGAGCUAAUACCGGAUAAUAUAUUGAACCGCAUGGUUCAAUAGUGAAAGACGGUUUUGCUGUCACUUAUAGAUGGAUCCGCGCCGCAUUAGCUAGUUGGUAAGGUAACGGCUUACCAAGGCAACGAUGCGUAGCCGACCUGAGAGGGUGGUCGGCCACACUGGAACUGAGACACGGUCCAGACUCCUACGGGAGGCAGCAGUAGGGAAUCUUCCGCAAUGGGCGAAAGCCUGACGGAGCAACGCCGCGUGAGUGAUGAAGGUCUUCGGAUCGUAAAACUCUGCUAUUAGGGAAGAACAAAUGUGUAAGUAACUAUGCACGUCUUGACGGUACCUAAUCAGAAAGCCACGGCUAACUACGUG